This is a non-coding RNA of Arachis ipaensis, 1376 nucleotides long. NCBI's taxonomy places the organism in Eukaryota, Viridiplantae, Streptophyta, Magnoliopsida, Fabales, Fabaceae. The record is from RefSeq and is a predicted model, not a curated record.
AAUUAUGUGAAGACACUACAACAAAUACGGACAAUAGCAACGAUGAAUGGGCGGCUGUUUAUCAAAUUGCCGCAAAUUAAUAAGAUACUGGCGGUUAUAAUAGCAAUUUGAGCUUCUGCUACAAAAAGAAUCAGAUAAAGCCAGCGCCCUAAGUGCCCCGUCACCCCCUCGACUAGAAGUCCAGAGCUCUAAAGUCUGAAUCACUCCCCCUUCUCCAACCCUAGCUUCUUUUCAACCACCAACGCAGCGCCACCAUCGAUCAUCACCCUCAACAUCUCCGUCAGAACCACAGAACCACCACCUUCUUCUUCUUCUUCUUCUUCUUCUUCUUCUUCUUCUUCUUCUUCCACCUUCGCCGAACAACCACCGUGAAAACCCUUUCUCUCUUUCUCUUCCCCUGUCUCCUGCCUCCUGCCUUCUCUGUCUCGCUGCCGGCUACCAUCCAGCGCGGCCGCGACCAUCUUCUUCCCCUCCUCGCAACCUCGCACUGUGGCUCUCUAGCUCCCUCCAGCCUCCCUCAUUCCCAGUCGUAGAAUCAUAAUAGAGCCACUCUAGUUCAAACGCACCAGCGGUUGGUCACUGCCACUGCAUCUCUCUCUCCGAGUUCUUGCUCUGUUCUUCGACUCAGACUUAUUACUUCAGGCAAAGGAUCCUAUUUCGAAGAUCACCGAGGAGAGGAGUUCUAUUAUUGAUCAAAAUAAAAGACCUCCGCAAGAACUACCAGAAACAAAAAAGAACCAGCAUAAUCAAACCAACAAGAACCAUAAUAAAACUAAGAAUACCUAAACAUGUAAACAAGGUACCAUGAAUUCUAAAUGUGCCACAUAUAACACUAAGGACGUGGACAGUAGUGUAUGUAUGAAUACUUGAAUUAUUGUGCAUCAUGAAAAAGGAUGAAGAGCAAACUUGGUAGCUUAAUUGAGGGUCAAAGUUGGUUUUAGGAUACUGUUGAUGCCUGUAAGGCAGUUCUACUGGCUAUUUAAGGAUCCAAGAGCAAGGAACAUUGAGGAUGUAUUGAUUCUUUCCGAGGAUCACCUGUACAGAAUGAACUACAUGGAUUUGAUUCAAGUUCACCGGGAGAACAAAGUUGAAUUAGGUAUUGACUGUAAAAGGAGGUAUGGGUGGAAGGUUGGUUUCUUUGUUAGAGACACUAUUGACAUGUUUAUAUAGUAGUUGAUAAUUUUAUUCUUGAUGAAUGAUGAUCUCUUGGAAGUAUAGAUGAUGUUCUUCUCUGAUCAUGUAGUUUACUUGUUUUGGCUCUGACUUAUAGAGAAUUUUGAUUUUUUCAAAUAUGCUGCCACCAAUGUAUCUCUGACAGUUUCAAGGCGAGACAUGGCAACACAAAUGAUAAAUAUAUUAUUUUAUUUUUCAGUUAA